Non-coding RNA from Paramuricea clavata, 243 nucleotides. NCBI's taxonomy places the organism in Eukaryota, Metazoa, Cnidaria, Anthozoa, Malacalcyonacea, Plexauridae. The record is from the annotation of a GenBank genome assembly.
GCAAGCUGUGUAUACCGGAACAACGGUCCUGGCGAUGACGAACAGCGCAAUGAAUCCGGUUUUGUAUGCCCUGUUUAACCGGAAUUUCCGCUGUGCAUUCAGGAAUUUAUACAGGAAAUUCUUGAAUAAUCAAGUGCUACCGCUGCCCGACGCGUUUUCCAUCGCGGGGACUCAAGACGGAGUCACCAGAGGGCGACCAACCCGUUUGAUGACAUUGAGUAGCCUGGUACCAAAAAGGAUGAG